GUGAUUCAUCAGUGUAAUUCACAACUAUAUAAGCAUGGACACUAUGGUUUUUACGCUUGGCAAAGUUAAAAGUCUUAACUUGUGCCACAAACAUGAUCUAAGGAGAACUAACAAAGGAGCUAAGGAGUGGAGGAUCGGGUAUAUUAACCGUCCCUUCUAGCAUCAAGAUAACCCUUUUCAUCGACGGUCGAGACGAUGCUUCAUCUUGGGUGCACCAUAAUCCGACCUUAACCAUCUUCUCCAAUUUACUCUUCUCCACAAAUUCAUUUUGCACCAGCUUCUCCACUUCAUUAGCCUUGAAACAAUCAUGUGCCCAGUAUGCAAGAACUUGUUCGUUUUCCGGAACAUCCGCUUCCACACUCCUUCUACAACAAAUGAUCUCGAACAGCAUUAUUCCGAAGCUAUAAACAUCGGCUUUCACGGUUAUUGGUAAGUUUCGAUGCCACUCUGGGGCAACGUAUCCCCUCGUCCCUCGGAUUUCAGUGUAUGUCCUAGAUUGGUUAGGCAUCAAUAGCUUGGCUAAUCCAAAAUCUGCAAUUUUGGCGUACCCUUUGUCGUCCAUUAGGAUGUUUUCGGGUUUGAUAUCGCAAUGGAUAAUCUGAGUCUCGCAUUCUUCAUGCAAGUAACAAAGUCCUCUCGCUAUACUCAAUACUACUUCGACUCUUCCUUCCCAAUUUACCUUUAAUCUCGAUUUGAAAAGAAAAUCUGCAAGAGAACCGUUUUUCAUGUACUCGUAAACCAGAAGCCUAUUAGUCCCGUCGUAGCAAUAACCGAGCAAUCGAACGAGGUUCUUGUGAUGUGUUUUCCCGAUGGCUUUCAUUUCAUUCAGGAAAUCUCUUUCACCUUCGGCCACCACUUUUUCCAGUCUCUUGACGGCUACUGUUCUUUCGCCAUCGAAUAUCACCCCUUUGAAAACCGUCCCGUAAGCUCCUUUACCGAUCACGUCCACAAAAUUGUUGGUUGCAUCUUUAAGUUCCUCGAGGGAAAAUGAUUUCAAGGAAACAUCUUCAGCAACUCGAUUGUUUACCAAACGCAAAUCACGCUUGUAUUUUCGAACAUAAGCACGAUACUUUCGAACGCCGAUCGUUGCUACAGCUAGAAACCCAAGCGUCAAGCAUGCCAUGGCAAUACUAAUGAUUAACAUAUCCAUUCUUAGCUUCCUUUUCCUUUUCCUUGUCCCAACACCGGCAAGUUCUCCUCCAAUCUUUAAAAAUGUAGUAACUUGACCACUUAAUACUCUCCUCCCAAACCGUAACGGCAACUUCAUCAUUUUACACAACUCGUUCUCGAAGACAGCGGCUUCGCAACUACAAUCUCGAUAGCACUCGUCCCUACAACUGUUCUUUGUCUUCAACGAAAGACUCAAAUACGCAUCAUUUUUCCAAGACACAUCGUUCACCUCAAGAAAAUCAAAAGUUUGGUCAUUUCUUGUGUCACAAGCAACUAAACUAUAGUUCUUUCGGCAACCCAAUUCCUGUCGCUUCUCGUUGAUAAAAUCGAAAUGAAGAGGACAUUGACAAACGGGUUCCCCACCCAUCAUAACACAAUAACUAUUCUCACCGCACAAACCGAAAGGAUCACAUCUAUAAUUAGAGGAUGACCAUUCGGUGUACCAAUCAUCAAAUUGGUUAGAACUAUGUGAGUACAAUCGAAAUAUACCAUCCGUAUCGAUUGUUGCACGAUACACGGACUUACCCGAGGCAUUAACGUAGUUCGUAUUAAUACUUUUGAUGUUGAAACCGGUAUCAUUUAACAAAUAUAGGUGACCGUCACCAUCAAGAUUCAAGCUCACACCAUAUCCAGCAGUAAAUGUAUCAGUAGCCCAAUAAGCAGCACCAAGCUGUUCCACUGCUCCAACAGGGUAUUGAACCAAAUUCCCAUCCCUUUGCAUAAGAAUUAGAAAUUUUCCGCUACUAUGAUCCGACUCGGCAACACUCGAAACGAGCUUACCGAUCACCGCUAGACGUUGUCCUGGUAAAAUGGUAUCGGUCGGGAAAUCAAAACUCUUCCAUACGAUCCCACCACUUGAAUUCAACAAAACAAAGUUACCCGAAUCGAGCAUCGAGGCCGAAGUUGCUAACCGUGACACGUUAUCACUACUAGCAUCGGCAAUGAGUACGUCUUGACCUUGCUUUGGUCGAACAAUAAGGGUACCUUCGGUGGUUAAAACCAAUGUGACAUUGCUAGGGAACGGCAAGGCAUCUCGGUUAGCCGUCCAUACAAUUGUUUUCUGCUGGAUGUUUUCGAACCAUAUGCCUACGGAGUAGCCGUUUUUGUAUGGGUAGAAACCGAAAGCGAACUGGCCGGACGGCGAUAGCAAAUAUGAAUUAUUGAUGGGUGAAAGAGAAGAACCUGGUUUGAUAAUAGAGCUUGUUGAUUGAGCAUUUGUUGCAUUAAAUACAAAAUUUAAAAGAAGAAGAAGAACAACAAGAAACGCCAUUAAAGUGGAAGAUAAAGCUUGUGUUUUUCUUUUUCUUUUUUUCUUUUUACAGUGCUUGUAAGGAAAAAAAGUAGAUGCGAUCCCUUGUCGAUAGUGCAUUAGGAGGAUUAGUCUAAAUUAUCGAUUUAGUCCUUGUACUUAAACUUUUUUUUAGAUGAGAUAAAUAUUAAAAUCAUACAUGAAUUUUGAUGCAAUGUACAAUUUGAUACAUGAACAUUAUUUUUAUGUGAUUUUAUACAUGAAAAUUUAAUUUCAUUAAUUUUCACGAACCACUAAUAACAUUAUCGAAUUAGCAUCAUUUUAUGUUAAUAUAUUACAUACACAAAUCAUUAUAUUAAUCCAAUAUAAAAAUAAUUAUAUGUAUUCAUUUUUUAAAAUGUAUACAAUUGAAUCAAAAUCAAAGUUUCAUAUAUAUAAACCACAAUUCAAGUUUCAUGUGUAUAAAUGCACUAAAUCAAUACUCAUGUAUUAAAUUAAAUAUUGGGUGUAUAAAUUUAAUAUUUAACCCUUGCUUUUACCUUCACUUUUUUAAUUUUAAAAUUCUAGUCUUGGCCAAACAAUAAUCGUUAUAUUUUACUGUUUUUAAAAUAUUAUGCGCCAAUUAUAUUAUUAUAUGUGCAACGUUAUGCCUGAUUGUUAUUUUCACGUAAUAUUCACACACACAAAAAAAGCCACAUUUUUAGUUAUUGGAUUUAGUGACGGCUGUUUUUAACCAUGAUUGGAAUUUCAAUCCACCGCUUAUGCAUAAAGCAAGACUAAUAGCAGAAUUUUUACCUAGUCGAUGUAAAGGCUGCAAUUUAAGUCAGGACUGAAAUUUUAAAAUAUGAAAAAUAUAAGGACUAAAAUUGAUAAAAAAUAAAAGAAGGAUUAAUCUAUAAUUUACGAGGACUAGUAAUAGAAUUUGAACUUUCUAAGUCUUUUUAAGUCGUUAAAAUUCUUGGUCUAAGAAGAGAAAAGUAUAUAAAAGAUUUAACAAAGUACACGCCUUGAGUUUCACGAUUAAGGACUUUUCUACCGUCUUUUUCUUUGGUUGACUGUACUAUUACUAGUCCUUUUUUCUAGUCUUCGGUUCUUAUAGAUAAGUAUAUUUGAAUAGCUCAAUUUGUAUCAAUAUUAUUUACGGUAUAAAAAGAUAUAGAUUCGAGUCUUCCUAUUUAAGAGUUGAAAAAGGGCUAUAAGUAAUUUUAGAAUUGUAUAAAAAAGCAUAUAUAAUAAAAACCUAUAACAAGAUUUAAAUUUAAAAACAAAAAUGAUGUUUGAUUAAGAUGUAACGAAGGAAGUUAUUAGACCAAUUUGAUCAAUUUGAUCCGAUUCUGAAAACUUUGGUCAUAAGUUCAUGUAACACCCCCUACCCGUAUUCAUCGUCGGAAUAGGGUACGAGGCAUUACCGGAGUUUACCGAAUUAAUUUCUCGUUAUUAUGAGUUAAUUACUAUUCAUUUACUCCAACAUGUAAUGACGUCCUUUAGAUGGUUCUCCAAAGCCCAAAACAUACUUUGGGAACAAACCAGAAUUUAAUCAAAACCAUAGGGAAUUUUUUGCAAAAUCCCAAAUUUUUUUUAUAUGAACUCAAUAUAAUCCUUUUAUAAAUAUCCAACAUUCCCCGCAAAUUUUUAAAACUGAGACCAAUCCAAACCAACCAAUCCAUUUCAAUCAAUUUGAUACCAAACCAUAUUUCUAUUAUAAUUAUACCAUUUAGCAUAUUCAUCACUCUUUAUGUAACACCCCUUACCCGAGACCGUUGUCGAAAUCGAGCACAAAGCGUUACCUAACUUAACUUACUAAAUUGGAGCAUAAAAAUUUUCUUUUAAAAUUAAUUCACUCACGUUCAAUCAAUAUAUCCCUAAAAAGGAUCAUCGAGACCCUAAAACAUGCAAUGAAAACUGUUCGGGUCCAAACAGGGAACAUUAAAAAUUUUCCAAAUACUUAAACAAAUUAAAAAUAAUUUAUUUCACUGUUCACAAUAAAACUGUUCAACUGCGCAGCAGUCACUAAAUUAAUUAUAACUCGAGUUAAAAAACUCGAAAUUUAAAUCCGUAAAUUUUCCCUAAAACUAGACUCAUAUAUCUUACUAUCAUAAAAUUUUCAGAAUUUUUGGGUUGGCCAAUUAAUACAGUUUAUUAGUUAAAUCUCCCCUGUUUCACUGUUCAACAGUUCUGAUCCCUCGUCACUAAAAAUUAAUUAUCUCAUUGUACAUAUUUUAUAUGGUGCUUCCGCUUGUUUCUACUGAAAAUAGACGCACUUAGGAAUCAGGAAAUAUAAAUUAUAACUCAUAAUUCUUUCUGUACAAUUUUUAAUAAAUUUCCAAAGUUAGGAAAGGGGAUUACAAAAUCAUUCUGAACUUAUCUCACUAAAAUUCAAAUAUCUCAUAAUAUAAAAUUCAUUUGCCUAUACCGUUUCUUUCAUAUGAAAAUAGACUCGAUAAAAUUUAAUUCCAUACCUAAUUCACUCUCUAAUUCCAUUUCUAAUAUCCUCAUGAAUUUUUGAAAAUCACAUCACUACUCCUGUCCAAGAAAAAAAAACUAUUCCAUUGCAAAUUUUUUUACUCUUUCAUAAUUUCUUUGUAUUAACUAGCAUUUAGGCAUACAUAACACUAAACAUAUUCUUAAUUAGCCAUCUCAAUAGCUAAUCAUUAUGAAAUAACUUUAGUUCCCUAUUUCAACCUUUUUCGAAACACAAUCCAAACGAUUAACCAUGUUAUUUAAUCAAGCAUGAAACCAUACAUAUCAAAAUAAACAAGCCAUUUUUGCAUGGCUCAUUAUAUAUAUAUACAUCAUUCAAAAUAUAUUUCAAAAAGUAGUAUAGACUAUACAUGUCAUUUAUUUCACAUAUUUAACACCUAUUUUAUAACCUUUACAAAAAGGUCCUUUUAGGUGUUUUCAUGAUAACACCUUUCACAAAAGUUGUUUAUUUAACAACUAAGACUCAUUUUUUUCUAUAAAAAUGCAGCAACCAACAUAAAGGCUCACAUGGCAAAACCCUAGACUUCCAACCAUUUUGCAAAAUAGUCCCCUCAUUAGCUAGCUCAAGCUACAAGGGUUCCCAAAAGUACAAAAAUUAUCAAAGAAUGGUCAUCAGAACACUUACUUGUAAGGAGAAAAGCUUGCCGAAAUUUUUGGCUCUCAAACCCCUAUUUUGCUGCUAAUUUUCGGUGGUGAAGGUGGAGAAGAAAAGAUGAUAUCAUUCUUUUCUUUAUUUUAUGAUAAAAAUUAAUUUAGUCACCAAAUUUUUACCUAACCAAUUGACCAAAUCUUUUCUUUGUCCCUAUGGCCGGCCACCACCCUAAACAAGGCUUAGUUGCACAUUAGGGACCUCCAAUUAAUAUUUUAUAGCUUUUAGACACCUUUAGCUUGUAAAAUAGAACUUUUACACUUUAUGCGAUUUAGUCCUUUUAUCAAAUUAAGCACACAAACAGUAAAAUUAAAUCACGAAAUUUUUAGAAAUAUUAAUUCACGAAUUAUAAACACAGAAAAUAAUAUUUAAAAAUUUUUCUGACUCGGAUUUGUGGUUUCAAAACCACUAUUCCGAAUAGGAUCGAAAUCGAGCUGUUACACUUUACUUUAAUACAUAUUCAUUAAACAAGUUUUGGCAUUUAUAUAAUCAUCAAACUAUAUACAUGCAAUAUAAAUCAAAAAAGAAAUUUACAAAAGCUACUGGAGAUAAUCUGGAUAGUGUGAUCCUCAGUGUUGAUCCGAUCCUCCGUAUAUUUUCACGUCAAUCUACAAGUGACAUUGAAUACACUCAAGUAAGCUUAUAGAAACUUAGUAAGUUCGUAGGCAUAAAACAUAAAUCUUACCAAACAUUCAUACACUUAUACAUUAUACACUAUUACUAAGUUUACCUCUCAACCAUAAACACUAGUGAGUCCCUUGGUAUAAACUCACUACUACUUAUCCAUUUACUAUAAUUCUUUUGGGCCCAUUUGUCACUUACCAUCAUUAAUCAAAUUAGGGAAUGGUUACGAAAAAUUGAGUACUUCACUUCCACUUUGCCAUAGUAUAACUAUGGCCUUGCGUAUGAUCACUUAUCACUUUCCGAAGCCAUAGCCCUGCCACAGUCUUACACGGAUCACACUUAUCACUUGUCACUUGUCACUGAUCAAAUAAGUGUAGCUAAAGUUACCACUUAUCACUUGUCACUUGUUACUGAUCAGAAGUACUCAAAUCCGACAUUCCGCUCAAUUUGAUCAUUUAUUCGGUUUUAGCAUUGUUAUUUUAUUCUCAAUUCAUCAACAAAUAUAUCUCAUCAUACAUUAUAUAAUUCAUAAAAUUAACAUUUAAUCAUUAAAUUUCAGCCAUAUGAACUUACCUGGGUCGAUUUGCAAAAUUUGUGAAAGUUUAAGGACUAAUCAGCUACUUUUUAUUUUCCUCGACUUGCUUCGGGUUCUCGAUCUAUCAUUGCAAAAUCAUUCACUUAUCAGUAUUGACUUCACCUUCACUCUAUUUCACAUCCUUAAUGUUUAUAACCCGCUUAUAAGUAAUAUUAUCUAUAAUUUCACUAUUUACUUAUGUAUAUUCAAUGUUGUCCAUCCAUGUCGUAGUCACUAAAUUUUUUUUAUCUUGAGCUACAGAACUCCAAAUUAGGAUCCACCUAAUUUUCCCUGAAACUAGACUCACAUAUCUUCUUACCAUAAAAUUUUCAGAAUUUUUGGUUUAUCCAAUAAGUACAGUUUAUUAUUUAAAAUCACCUUUGUUCUGUUGUCUGACAGUUCUGACCCUUCUUCACUAAAAAUGAAUUAUCUCCUCGUAUGAGAUUCGGAUGAUAUUUCCGUUUUUCUCUCGAAAAUAGUCUCAUUCAUUAUUUUAAAUAUAUAAAUUUAAGCCCCUAAUUAUUUUUAUUCAAGACUACUGUUGUUGUCCAAAACUGUUUUAGUGCAAAAUGUUGAUUUCCAUUUUGCCCCAAAUUUCAUAGUUCAUACAAAUCAGUCAUUGCUCAAUUAACCCCUCAAUUAAGCUAAUUUUUCACAAUUAGUACUUUACCUAGACAUUAUAAGUUAUUUCACAACUAUUGAAAUUUAGAAUUUUCAUAUAAAACCCUAACUUCAAAAUCUUUUACUAUUAGGUCCCAAACAUUCACUUUCUAUUCAAUUCUUUCAAAAAAAUCGGCAUAUAAACAAUUUAAAUCUCUAAUUUCAUCCUAAAUCAUCAUAUACUUCCAGCACAUAUUCAUAUUAACUUUUAAUUUCUUUCAUAGAAUCAAAAACUAAUGAAUUCAACAAGUGGGCCAAGUUGUAAAAGUAACAAAAACACAAAAAUUUCAAGAAAUAAUCAAGAAUUGAACUUACUUGCAAUAAAAAUAUGAAAAACCAGCUUAAAGAAACCCUUCUAUGGUGUUUUUGCUGAUGAGAAUGCAGAAAAAUAAAGAGAAAUCUAGAUAAUGCCACUUUAAUCCUAGCUUUAUUAAGCAAAUUUUUCAAUAUUCCAAUUUUGCCCUUAAUUCUUCUUAUUUUCUUGUUGAUUUCAUGCCUUUGCCUUCCCGCCCAAAUAGCCUUGGGUCUAUUUUCCUUUUAAGCCCUCUUUCUUUUAUCAUUUAAGUUAUUUAAUCAUUUCCCAUAAUUUUUCAUUUGUUACAAUUUACUCCUUUUUGUUCAAUUAAUUAUCGGAACUUUAAAAUUUCUAGAUGAAACUCUAAUACUAACUUUUUAACACUCCAUAAAUAUUUAUAAAAAUAUUUAUGGCUCGGUUUAAAAUCUUCGAGGUCUCGAUACCUAGUUUUUGAUUAUAAUUAUUUUAAUAUUUAUUUCUAGUACACUAUUCACUAUUUCAAAAAUUUUCCUAACUUCACAUUUAACUUAUAUUCACUGAAUUAAUAAUAUUUUCUACUCAUUUGUCGGAUUUAGUGAUCUCAAAUCACCGUUCCGACACCCUAAAAAUUCUGGCCAUUACAGUUCAAACUCGAGACAACCUUUUUUUUCCCUCUCCUUUUUUUCUUCUCUUAAUUGUAGUGUAAAGCAAAAUUUGGAUGACUUAUGAUCCAUUGAUGUUUGUAUCGCAUUGGCGUUCUAAAAAAGCCAUUAUAGUAACAAUGUAGUUCCCCAUACUAAUCGUUAAGGUUUUUUUAACUUGAUCAGUGGUCAAAUUAGAUUAAUAAUUUAAAAAUAUAUGAAAAUUUUUAACUUUUAAAACACAAGAUUUUUGGUACUAUACAGAUUCGAUAUACUCUAAAAAUACAUUUGGUACAAUAUUAACGAUCUCAUAAAAAUUGAAUUUCGAUGAAUUCCCGUUUACUGAUCCCAUCUUUUAUAGAAUUGAUCCCCUACAAGAAUACGUGGAGCUCGGCAUGUCUGGAAACACAGAAGAACUUUCUUUUGCUGAUAUUAUUACCAAUAUUCAAUAUUAGUUCGUUCAUAGUAUUACUAUACACUAAUGAUCUUUUUAACUAAGUGUGAUCGGAUAUCUAUAAAAAUUAUUUUUUAAAAAUAUAUUUUUUAAAAAAUUUAAAAAUGAUAUUUUUAACCAAUUUCCGAUCUAACCAACCGAAUCAAUUCAAUUCCAACCACAAAACAUAUACAUUAAAAAUAAUCAUAGGCAGAUAUGUAUGUUCAAAACACCAAAUAUAUACAUUAGUCAAAGCACAAAUAUCCCACUAAUUAAGUUCAUUAUAUAUACAUAUUAAUCCCAAAAGUAAAGGAUUAAAUCAAAAUUUUGUCAUUUUGGGGGUCAAAGUGUAAUUUUACCUAUACUAACUUAAAAUUUUAUAAAUUGUAAAGGGUCAAAUGUCAAAAUUUCCCAUUUUAGGGGGGGCAAGGCCCCUGCCAACCCCCCGGCGUUGCCCCUGGUUCAUGAUUCAAGUAAUUUGAUUAAUCUAUUUGAACAAGUUAUUACUAAACUUGAAUUCGGCUCGAUUGAUACCUCAAGCUAAACUUGAUAAUUACCGAAUUGAAUUCAAAUUCUUUUCAAAUUGAACUCAAAAAAUUUACGAAUACCAGUAUCUCAUUUACACCCGAACAAAAAUACACAAAAACAGCCUAAAUGAAUUGACAUUCAGACAGCAAACAAAUGCACAAAGAGUCAGGCUAUUGGUAAGCAUAAACAAAUUAGAUUCCAAGAAAAAGAAUUGCAAACAAUUGGAAUUUUAAGUGCAUGGUCAAAUAAUUACCAAUUGACUUGUUUUAUUAUAUUUUAAUUUAAUUUGUUCUCCGAACAAAAAAUUUUACGAUAUUUUAUACAAAUAUAAAAUUAUUUACACUGUUUUUAACAAUUAGAUCCAAAUUAUUCAUAUAAAUACAUGUAUUUAUAAUUUGAUCCACAUGUUUAAAAUUAUGAUUCAUGUUGGAUCUAAAAUGGGAUUUGACAUUGGGUGAAAUCAAGCAGUGAGCUUGACUCGAAAUUUAGAGCUCGAUACUUGCCUCUAGCUCGAUUGAACAUCUAUUUCUAAGCUCGAGCUCUAUUCAAGAUAAAACCGAGCUACUCAAGCUCGAUUAAGCUUGUUUGUCAAUUUUUGUACUUAAGCUCGAGCUUGACUCAAUAAUUAUGUUUGGAUUUGGGUUAAUAAUAUAUAUUAAAGGCAAUAACGUAAUUUAGCAAUAUUGAUAGGUUAAAGAUUUAAUUAGAAUAUUUCGAAGAUCAAUGAUUAAUUUAAAAUAUGCUUAGAAUUAUUUAUAAUAUCUUCCUCACCCGUAAAUAGGAAGAUAAUAUCAUUCAACUCAGUUUGGUUAAUUCAAUUUUAUUAGUUUAGUUGGUUCAUUAGAUUCUUGAUAUAUAAAAACCGAAUUAACUGAAGAUAUAUUCUUAUCUCUUAAGAAGGAUUAAAUAAAUUCAAGAUUCAAAAUCUAAACAUCUUCCUCUGUUCUAAUAUUAUAGAAAAAUUUAUUGAUUACACUGUAAAUUUCAUCAGGCUGAUAAUAUAUACAUAUAUAAAUAUGUAUAUACCUGCUGUGAUUCAUCAGUGUAAUUCACAACUAUAUAAGCAUGGACACUAUGGUUUUUACGCUUGGCAAAGUUAAAAGUCUUAACUUGUGCCACAAACAUGAUCUAAGGAGAACUAACAAAGGAGCUAAGGAGUGGAGGAUCGGGUAUAUUAACCGUCCCUUCUAGCAUCAAGAUAACCCUUUUCAUCGACGGUCGAGACGAUGCUUCAUC
This 10519-nucleotide long non-coding RNA is filed under the name Gossypium barbadense (sea-island cotton). RNAcentral's name for it is "long non-coding RNA (GBAR_LNC016814)". Lineage: Eukaryota; Viridiplantae; Streptophyta; Magnoliopsida; Malvales; Malvaceae. The record is from RNAcentral.